This 2648-nucleotide long non-coding RNA is filed under the name Homo sapiens (human). Its description in RNAcentral is "non-protein coding lnc-ZEB2-1:11". Lineage: Eukaryota; Metazoa; Chordata; Mammalia; Primates; Hominidae. The record is from RNAcentral.
GAAGGAAAGGGUCCGCCUAGCCCUGAGUCAAGCGGUCUUACUGUACCGCCGUGUGCAUUCCCUCAUACGGUCAGGAGUUAUGACUCAUUUUGAAGAUAUCGAGCCUGCGUGCUGCCGAAGCAGGGCGCCGAGUCCAUGCGAACUGCCAUCUGAUCCGCUCUUAUCAAUGAAGCAGCCGAUCAUGGCGGAUGGCCCCCGGUGCAAGAGGCGCAAACAAGCCAAUCCCAGGAGGAAAAACGCCUUGGAGUCAGAAAUGAGCACUCGGAGCGGGAGAUGCCCUGCUGCUGCUUGCCACCGGUGCGGCCCGUUUGUAACUUGCAAAGUUUGUUGCUUUUGCCCCUGAUUCGGGCAGCGGGUCCUGGGAUGCUCCUGCUUCCCUCCUGCCUCCCACGGAGCCCGGGAAGAGGGUCUGCCUCCCCAUCCCGCCACCUUCCAGCAUCAGCCUCUGAAAAAUCUCACAGAGACAUGCACGUUGUAGCAAAAAUCAAAUCCGGAAACUGCUUGUUUCAGAGAAAGAAAUGAAGUUGUCUUUUAAAGAAAAACUGAAUUAGGAGGAGAGAAAAGGGAAAUAGGAGAAGAAAGGAAAAGUUAAAUUUGAUUUUUCUCCAGAGUUUCCACUAAAGGGUUGGGGACAGUGUGAAGGAGAAGGGGAGCUUUUUACAAAUGCCUUUGGUCUCUGAACUUCAGUGGCAAAGAACAGGGAUCAAGUUGAAUGUUCUCAGGGCUUUGGAUCCUAGAGGAGAAACAAUCAGAAGAGCAGAAAUGGUUAUCCCUGUUUAAAAUAAGCCCUCACUCUUUACCACUUCCUUAAAGGAGUGGAGGUGCUGGUAGUGAUGGUUAGAGGCAAUGAGGGACGGAGAAGUUGCUCCCGUUUCAGAGAUGCUUAAAUGAAAAGGAAAGAAAAUGCAGUCAACCCCUUCUCCAGGAGGUGCCUCCUAGCUCUCCUCCCUGAGAGGUGAAGUUGGGAUGGGGCAACGAGAGUCAUACACACUUAGACAAGGAAGUUUCCUUCGGAUCACUGUCAGUCCAGACUUGGUUAUCUUUGCAAAGUGUGGAAAUCUUUGGCAAGUAGCUUUCUUCGUAAAGUUGAUGAGCUUCUAGGGAGCCUGUUUUGCUGACUUUCAAAGCACUGGGGCAGGUUGUGUGGCAGGUACCAGUUCUGAGGGCGCUCCAAAGAUAUCCAUCUCCAUCCUUUUUUCUCUGUGGAGAUCUUCUGCAAGUUUUGUCACGCUGCACACACACAAGGCUGGGGGCUAUGUAUCUAGGCUGAUCUAUUUGUUUUAUUUUGGUCUGGAAAAACUAAGCCAAUUGGGGUAGAAACAUGCUUUCCUUCGUAGCAGAGCCAGUAGGCUGCUGGUGUCCAUAGAGUGACAGUCCACCAGGACUAAGGGUGGGCUGAGGAUUUUAAACUUUACAUUGUUUCUCUGUUACCAGAUACAAAUAAAUUCACGUCUUCCACCAUUUGUUUUCAAAUAGGGUAAAACCAAGAUUAAAGUUCCCUGCUCAACUGCUAUGUCAUAGGUUUCAGUGUUUCCCUUCCUUCUUAAUUUGCUUAAAGAAAAUUCCAAGAGGUUAUUAAAGACCUUGAUGCCAUAUUAAGAAUAUUUCCUGGGAAAAAUGUAUGUCUACCCUGAAGGUAGGAAAGGAGGGCGUUGCUAGCCUCUAGCAGUGCCGCGUUUAUUCUAAGAUGUGGGAGAUUCUUUUCCUUGCAACAGUUUUUGUCAUCUGCAUUCUUCCAAGGCUUUUAAGGUGCAUUUUCUUCUGUGUGAAAGGAAAUUCUUUGUCCUUUUCCUCUCAGCACCGUGGCUUCCCAAGGUAGACACUAUUUUGUGCCUGUCACAGAGAGAGGGAGUGCAGGUUUGCAAUGCUCACAGACAAUUGAUUGUCUGCCCUAAUGUGUUUCAUUUACAUGUUUAUAACGUCAAUGGUGCUGGGGUGUCCACUGUACCAUUCAUUCCCGCAUUCCCACAAGGGGGCAAUUGUCUGAAUGGCCAAGUCAGACACCUUUUUGAUUGCUCUUUGGUUGUCUUUUCAGAGCAAAGAGAUAAAGGAGGAAAAUCUGUGAUGCAGAAACACUAGUUGAAAAUAUACAGAAUUAAAUGUCACCACAAAAGCAGAUGUUAACAUAAGCCCAAAUAUGCUUUUUAGCCAAGAUGUGAAGGUUGAAAAAAAUAAUUCAGAGCAGAGGGAAGGAUGAUUUAAACCAAUAAAUAUAGCCCUAUUCCCCCUCUUUACUUCUUUUCUGUCUUUAGCAAUCAGAAGAUGAAAUGUAAUUUUCCUUUUCAUUUUUAAGCCUUGAAACAUCCAGGCACCUCCUCAUUAUUUGUAUGUUUGCUGUGAUUUGUGAAUUUUGUAUAUAUUUACAUAGCUCUGUUUAUGCCAACAGCAUCAGCUUACCACUUGGAAAAUCUAUUGAAUGACUAUUUGGGCUGUGGGGAGGGUAAACUUUUAAAAAGUAAGAUCCAAGUAUUUCUUCAUCAAGCAGUUUUUAAAAGGAAAACGAUAAUAAUCAGUAGGCUCCAUGGAAGCCUUUGCCUUAAUAGCUAUGUGCCAAAUACUUUUAUCUUGUGUGACAGUCAUGUCAGAGUGAAAUCUCUCAGGAAAAGUGUAACUAGUAGUUACAAAGUAAAUAAAGGAUUUCAUUUUAA